RNAcentral lists this ribosomal RNA (356 nucleotides) under Verrucosispora sp. ts21. Its description in RNAcentral is "bacterial SSU rRNA". It matches the Rfam family "Bacterial small subunit ribosomal RNA", at positions 152 to 494 of the family's 1533-position model. Lineage: Bacteria; Bacillati; Actinomycetota; Actinomycetes; Micromonosporales; Micromonosporaceae. The record is from RNAcentral.
GGAAACAAUAGCUAAUACCGGAUAUAGUUAUUUAUCGCAUGAUGAGUAAUAGAAAGGAGCUUCACAGCUUCACUUAAAAAUGGGGGUGCGGAACAUUAGUUAGUUGGUAGGGUAAUGGCCUACCAAGACGAUGAUGUUUAGCCGGGCCGAGAGGCUGUACGGCCACACUGGGACUGAGAUACGGCCCAGACUCCUACGGGAGGCAGCAGUAAGGAAUUUUCCACAAUGAGCGAAAGCUUGAUGGAGCGACACAGCGUGCAGGAUGAAGUUCUUCGGAAUGUAAACUGCUGUUAUAAGGGAAGAAAAAAUAGAAUAGGAAAUGAUUUUAUCUUGACGGUACCUUAUUAGAAAGCGAC